ACGGGGGCUCACACAAGCGGUGGAGCAUGUUGUUAAUUCGAGGCUACGCGAAGAACCUUUACCUGGGUUUGAAGCGGUAGGUAUAAGCAUGUCGAAAGAUGUGUGAUUGCCCUUCGGGGUGUAACCUAUCACAGGUGCUGCAUGGCUGUCGUCAGCUCGUGUCGUGAGAUGUUGGGUUAAGUCCCGCAACGAGCGCAACCCUUACCCUUAGUUGCCAGCGGGUAAUGCCGGGCACUCUAAGGGGACCGCCCGGAUAACGGGGAGGAAGGCGGGAUGACGUCAAGUCAGCAUGGCCUUUAUGUCCAGGGCUACACACGUGCUACAAUGGGCGAUACAGAGGGAAGCAAGGCCGCAAGGUAGAGCUAAUCCCUAAAGUCGUCCUCAGUUCGGAUUGCAGGCUGCAACUCGCCUGCAUGAAGUCGGAAUCGCUAGUAAUCGCGGAUCAGCUACGCCGCGGUGAACUACGUUCUCGGGCCUU
This 478-nucleotide ribosomal RNA is filed under the name uncultured Aminicenantes bacterium. RNAcentral's name for it is "bacterial SSU rRNA". It matches the Rfam family "Bacterial small subunit ribosomal RNA", at positions 913 to 1382 of the family's 1533-position model. Lineage: Bacteria; Candidatus Aminicenantota. The record is from RNAcentral.